RNAcentral lists this ribosomal RNA (1556 nucleotides) under uncultured fungus. RNAcentral's name for it is "eukaryotic LSU rRNA". The stretch from base 920 to 1556 matches the Rfam family "Eukaryotic large subunit ribosomal RNA", at positions 1 to 649 of the family's 3401-position model. Lineage: Eukaryota; Fungi. The record is from RNAcentral.
AAGUCGUAACAAGGUUUCCGACCCGGUUCCCUACCGAAGCCUUUGCAGCCCUACGGGGUGAACCGCGCGACUCAAAACAAGGCGGGCGAUGCAAGUCGGGCCACACCGGCCCGGCGACACUUUCGAAUUGCGGGGACACCCUAACGCGGCGCGCUACUAACGCGGGCGGGAAACCGCUCGCGGGCCUGCACUAACCGUGCGGGGAAGUAAAAAUGCGCGCCGAUACGCUACCCCUCGGGUGGGGUAGCUCAUGGGCGAUCCGCAGCCGAGUCCCUAAAGUUGCCCGAGUACGGGGCGUCCACGGGAAAGGUUCACAGACUAGGUGGAAGUGGGUGGGGCGAGCGCCCUGCUUAAGAUAUAGUCGGUCCCGGGCAGAGAUGCCGGGGGAGAGAUUCUUGUGCGUAAAGCGCUGGGAUCAUCGCAGACGUUCCGUAGGUGAACCUGCGGAAGGAUCAUUACCGUGAAGCGGCCGGGUCCGCCCGUGCCCGCUCCCAAAACCGUGCCUACCGACCAGUUGCUUCGACGGGACGCCGGGCCUCCAGCCCGGCGUCGACCCGUCCGGAGAACCCCACCGAACCCGUGUCACCCGCAGUCCGAGAGAAGAGCAAGAAACAAGCAAAACUUUCAACAACGGAUCUCUUAGUUCCGGCAUCGAUGAAGAACGCAGCGAAAUGCGAUAAUUAAUGUGAAUUGCAGAAUUCAGUGAAUCAUCGAGUCUUUGAACGCAAAUUGNGCCNNCAGUAUUCUGACGGGCACGCCUGUUCGAGCGUCAUUCCAACCCCUCAAGCCCCCCCGGCUUGGYCUGGCACUGCGGCAGGCACGCCCCAAAGUCGUCGGCGGAANNGGGANGACAGCCCCGAGCGUGACGCACUCGNGCAUUCGGGCUGNCCACGCGACCGCCUCACCAACGCACAAAAGUUGGCCUCGGAUCAGGCGGGGCUACCCGCUGAACUUAAGCAUAUCAAUAAGCGGAGGAAAAGAAACCAACGGGGAUUGCCUCAGUAACGGCGAGUGAAGCGGCAACAGCUCAAAUUUGAAAUCUGGCCUCCCUUGCGGAGCCCGAGUUGUAAUUUGAAGAGGACGCUUCGCGAACGGCGCCGCCCCAAGUUCCUUGGAACCGGACGCUACAGAGGGUGAGAGCCCCGUAUCCGGGUGGCGACCUGCCGCGUGUGAAGCUCCUUCGACGAGUCGAGUUGUUUGGGAAUGCAGCUCUAAUCGGGAGGUAAAUUCCUUCUAAAGCUAAAUACCGGCCGGAGACCGAUAGCGCACAAGUAGAGUGAUCGAAAGAUGAAAAGCACUUUGAAAAGAGAGUUAAAAAGCACGUGAAAUUGUUGAAAGGGAAGCGCUCGCGACCAGACUCGGUCGGGGGGGAUCAGCCGCCGCUACGCGACGGCGCACUCCCCCCCCUCCGGGCCAGCGUCGGUCCGGGCGGCCGGACAAAGGCGGCGGGAACGUGGCUCCCCUCGGGGAGUGUUAUAGCCCGCCGCGGAAUGCGGCCAGCCCGGAUCGAGGACCGCGCUUCGGCUAGGACGCUGGCGUAAUGGUCGUGAGCGGCC